This 253-nucleotide ribosomal RNA is filed under the name uncultured bacterium. RNAcentral describes it as "partial 16S ribosomal RNA". It matches the Rfam family "Bacterial small subunit ribosomal RNA", at positions 524 to 776 of the family's 1533-position model. The record is from RNAcentral.
AACGUAGGUACCGAGCGUUAUCCGGAUUUACUGGGCGUAAAGCGCGUUCAGGCGGUUUGGCAAGUCGGGCAUGAAAUCUCUCGGCUCAACCCGGAAAGGUCAGCCGAUACUGCGGGGCUAGAGUGCAGAAGGGGCAACUGGAAUUCUCGGUGUAGCGGUGAAAUGCGUAGAUAUCGAGAGGAACACCUGCGGCGAAGGCGGGUUGCUGGGCUGACACUGACGCUGAUGCGCGAAAGCUAGGGGAGCGAACGGG